RNAcentral lists this ribosomal RNA (415 nucleotides) under uncultured bacterium. RNAcentral describes it as "bacterial SSU rRNA". It matches the Rfam family "Bacterial small subunit ribosomal RNA", at positions 355 to 767 of the family's 1533-position model. The record is from RNAcentral.
UAAGGAAUAUUGGGCAAUGGACGCAAGUCUGACCCAGCCAUGCCGCGUGCAGGAUGACGGCCCUAUGGGUUGUAAACUGCUUUUGUACGGGAAGAACCCCUUCGAUUCUUCGGAGGCUGACGGUACCGUACGAAUAAGCAUCGGCUAACUCCGUGCCAGCAGCCGCGGUAAUACGGAGGAUGCAAGCGCUAUCCGGAUUUAUUAGGUUUAAAGGGUGCGCAGGCGGAAUGGUAAGUCAGUGGUGAAAUCGCCCGGCUCAACCGGGGAACUGCCGUUGAUACUGGCGUGCUAGAGUACAGUUGGGGUGGGCAGAAUGUGUCAUGUAGCGGUGAAAUGCUUAGAUAUGACACAGAACACCGAUCGCGAAGGCAGCUCACCAAGUUGUGACUGACGCUCAUGCACGAAAGCGUGGGGA